UGGGUCUCGCUCGUUACCUGACUUAACAGGACACCUCACGGCACGAGCUGGCGACGGCCAUGCACCUCCUCUCAGCUUGUCUGGUAAAGUCUUCAGCUUGACCUUCACUCUGCUGUCGCCCCCGGUAAGAUUUCCGGCGUUGACUCCAAUUGAACCGCAGGCUUCACCCCUUGUGGUGCUCCCCCGCCAAUUCCUUUAAGUUUCAGUCUUGCGACCGUACUCCCCAGGCGGCAAACUUAACGGCUUCCCUGCGGCACUGAGUUAGCAAUAAGCCAACUCAUCACCGAGUCUGCAUCGUUUACAGCUGGGACUACCCGGGUAUCUAAUCCGGUUUGCUCCCCCAGCUUUCAUCCCUCACCGUCGAGCGCGUUCUGGCAAGCCGCCUUCGCCACUGGUGGUCUUCAAUGGAUCAACGGAUUUUACCCCUACCCAUCGAGUACCGCUUGCCUCUCCCGCCUCCUAGCUCUAUAGUAUCUUCCGCAGCCCAUCUGUUAAGCAGGUGGAUUUAACGGAAGACUUGUAGAACCGGCUACGGAUGCUUUAGGCCCAAUAAACGUCCCGACCACUCGGGGUGCUGGUAUUACCGCGGCGGCUGACACCAGACUUGCCCACCCCUUAUUCUGCACCAUUUUUAGAGGUGCCAAAAGAUCUCCUUAACGGAAAUCACUCAGAGUAACCCUGUCAAGCUUUCGCCUAUUGCAGAGGUUUCGCGCCUGCUGCGCCCCAUAGGGCCUGGGCCCUUGUCUCAGUGCCCAUCUCCGGGCUCCUCCUCUCAGAGCCCGUACCGGUUACAGGUUUGGUGGGCCAUUACCUCACCAACAGCCUGAUCGGCCGCAGUCCAAUCCAGGGGCCAUAUAGAUUUAAGUCAUUACCCAUUCCAGAAGUGAUGACCUAUCGCGGUUUAUCCUCAGUUUCCCGAGGUUAUCCACGUCCCCUGGGCAUGUUGACUACGUGUUACUGAGCCGUAUGCCACAUAUUGCUAUGUUGACUCGCAUGGCUUAGUCCCACUCUGAUAGCAGUCGGGUCCGGCAGGAUCAACCGGA
RNAcentral lists this ribosomal RNA (1043 nucleotides) under unidentified archaeon. RNAcentral describes it as "16S ribosomal RNA". The record is from RNAcentral.